CUUUUCCUUUCUUUCCUAUUCUUCAGGUUCCAAACGGAGCCUAAAAUCUACCACAGGGUUCCGCGCAAACUCCAACCGCCAAAUCUCUUUGCCCCCAAAAAUCGCUAGGGCGCUUUUCUGAAAUUUCAAUCAAUUCCACUCUACGCUUUAAUGGAUUCAUCAUCUCCAGUUAAGCUAGGGUUUCUAUCGCGAGUUCUUCUUCCACCUAACCCAAAGGUUUGUUCUUCCCUCCUUUCCAAAAUCUGUACAUACGUACUCCCUGCUAACAUUCACGUUUAUUCAACUCCCUCUUUCCUGCUCGGAGAAGAAUCAAAAGCUAUUUUGUGAUUUUCUGUACCGGUUGAAGCAAAGAAUCAUUCUCCAGGGAAGCCGUCACCAGGUUUGAUUUGAUUUUUCUCCUUAAUUCUUACCCAGAGACAAGACUAGGGUUUUCAUUUCAGCCAUUAUCGUGUGAAAAAGAUAAUAAUGGUUAGGGAUCUGUACAGAUUAUACGCUUAAAGGGUUUGAAUUAACUGUAUUUGGGGUUUUUUGGUUCUCAUUCGGAUAUGAUUAUUGGGACUUUUGUUCUGCCGAGAAAACAUGAGAAUACUAAUUUGGGUUUUCGAUUUUUCCAUCAAAAGGACGUGGUCUGAUUUUCAUUAGUUGAGAUUUGAUUAGGUUUACUUCUGUAGCAAAAGAGCAGCAAACCUUCGAUAUCUUGCCACCAUUGUUGAACCAGAGCACUUUAAACUAUCAUCAAAAUCCAAAACCAAAAUCAGUAGAGAUUGUCUUUGCUCACCAUUUAUAUCUCUAAUAAGAUCUAAUGAAUCCUUUACUAGAGACCCGCCAAUCAAUAAUGUGACAUACCCUCGUGCUCUUAAUUUUAGUUGUAUACUCCAAAAAAGAUCCAACCUUAGUGGGUCAAUCAAUUAAAUGGAUUUUGUUCUUAUAGAGAACUCUUUUUCCCCACCUUGCUGAAUGACAUUGUGACCACUCCAUCAUGUAAGUUGCCUUUGGUGAUGGACCUUGAUGUUCCCUCCCUCUUUUCCACCUAUGCAAGUCUAGAACAGAUCAAUUUGCGAUAUUGGGUUGUAGUGGACAUGUGUUGAGAAACGGGCCCUUUGAAUUUAGUUCUAGGGAGAUUAGUAGCAUUAUUUAAGAUUGCAUUUGUGAAAUAAUUUAGCAAUGCAAAUUGUCAAUAUGCAAGUACAAGUUUUUUUUGUUACACUCCUAUAGGUAUAUAUUUACCUACACAAGUGAAAAAACUCGCUAGGCUUUGGGACACCAAUAAGAGGGACACUUUCAAUUCUAUAUUUGGUCUCAUUUAGAUACCAGGUCCUUUUUUUGCUACUGCAAUAAUACCAAAAGAAAUUGGUGCGAAAACUCUACUAGCAAUCAUGCAUGAGCCAAUUUUCUUUGCUCCCAUAGCCUUAAAAUCAUGGCUAGAGCGACUUUUUUCCAUUGCUUCUUCUUAGCUAUUGGAGUUAAUGUACUUUCUAUGUUGUGGGAGUAUAUAUUCCAUCUCCACAAGUCCGUACGGUUUAUGCCGGAUUGUACUAUAGUUUAUGUGCACACCAUCUGAGAUCUUCGUAGCAAAUAGCAAUAUGAGUGAGCUUACCGUAUGUUCUAGGAGUAGAUAUUCCAUCUUCUCCACAAGCCUUAUACGGUUAAUCUAGAGUGCUUUUGAUGAACGUGCAAUUAUCACUACAACAAUUAGUGCUUUCAAUAGCAGAAGAUAAUAGCCUUUUGGGGACUACGCUGUGAUAGGUGAGGCGUUCGUUCCUUGCCUUUUGAAAGAAACGGUAUAAAACUAGUAUGACUUCUCCUCUCUCUCUCUCUCUCUCUCUCUCUCUCUCUCUGUGUGUGUGUGUGUGUGUGUGUAGCUAUUUACAAUGUGAAGAUACAUACAGAGGAUAUUAUUUUGUAUACACACAUAAGUAAUUGAUUUUUUCUUGGGAUAGUUUUGUUACUGGUGAUUUGAGCAGCGCAGAACAAUAUGCUUGAAUAAAAUUUGUUACUAAAGUUAACCAUUCGAGUACCCAUGAUAGAGUGGAAAAAUUAUUUUCUUGUAAAAGAAUUUCUACCAACAUAAAUUUACAAUUACAGAGAACUUAAAGUCCCUUUAGCAUGGUGCUAUUGUAGUUGCAGGCUUGAGCAGAUGACCAUCAUGCGAAGGCAGCAUUUGUUUGAUUGAAGGAUUUUGAGAGCAAAUGGAAUGAUCAUUCCUUGGCCUCUCGUAGUUUGAACUGUGGAAGAAGGUGACACUACAACAGAAAAAGGCUGUCAAUAGCAUAAGAUUAUGGUGCUUAUCCGACUAUGCUAACAUCUCAUAGCGUAAACAAGACAAUUCUAUGGUGUGCAAAAAACAGGGUAACAAAGAGGCGCUGAAUAUUUUCGCACUACUAUGUACUUCACCCCAACUCAAAUGAUAAAUCUGAUAAUAUGUAGUAAUACGUUAUUUCUGUUAUAUAAUGACAUUGUUAUUCUGUUCACAGUUCACCAUCUCUGUCUGAAAAACUUCCUGUUGAACUUCCUGAAUUUUGCUACUUUUGUUAAAGUUCCAGCUAAGGUAUAGAUGAAUCUGCUUGAAUGGUCUAGUUGGGGCCAUAAUUGUUGCAACAUAAUGAAGGAGGAGAUUCCCCUUUAUUGCUCUGUCUCUCUUUGUAGAGUAAAAGAGUUUGUUUCACCCAUGGUUUUUAUUGUUUUUUUUGCUUAUCAAGAGAAAGAGAAGAAAGCAAGUUGACAGACUAAUUUAUAGUAGCACAUCAGGUAUAGGCAUGUAUAAAAACCGACUGCAAGAAUUGGCUCAGAGAAGCUGCUUCAACCUGCCAUCUUAUUCAAGUGUCUGAGAAGGUCCGGAUCAUGCCCCCCCGAUUUAAAGCUACUGUCAACUUCAAUGGAGAGACUUUGAGAGCCCUACAUUCUGCUCUAGGUUGAGGCUGGCAGAACAUGCUGCUGCGGAGAUAGCUCUGAACACACUUGCAAACAGAUGCCCUUCUAAGGCACUGGCCGGCUUCAAAAGUUUUGGUCGAUUGGUCGAAAGAGAAGAUCGAUGCUUCGUCACUUUUUUGCCGAAGAUUGAGAUAUAUUACCUAGUGUUGGUUGAAACUCAAUUGAAGUUUUUUGCACAGCUGCGAACUCCGUUUUUAUAUCAAGAAAACAUGUAGCUAGCUAGGCAACUUAGCUUUGAGAGAUUUGAACGUGGAUAUGAUAUCUUUGCAAAUGUGUUAGCAUGUGGAGGAUAGCUACUCUCGAUUUCCUUCUAAUUUGUAGUUGAGUACUGAUGUAGGAUGAUACAAGUCUCCUACUAGUUUUCUAAUUAAAGAGCCAUGUGUGAAUAAAUGGUAAUUCUUUUGCUCAA
Molecule: long non-coding RNA, 3340 nt
Organism: Rhododendron vialii
Lineage: Eukaryota; Viridiplantae; Streptophyta; Magnoliopsida; Ericales; Ericaceae
Exons: 2
Source: RefSeq, a predicted model, not a curated record